Rattus norvegicus (Norway rat) is the source of this 2957-nucleotide non-coding RNA. The record is from RefSeq and is a predicted model, not a curated record. NCBI's taxonomy places the organism in Eukaryota, Metazoa, Chordata, Mammalia, Rodentia, Muridae.
ACAAACCUUGGGCUUACCACAUGCACCAAAAGAUCUGCAGCAGUCUGUGGGAUUCUGGACUUCCUCAGGCCAAGGGCUGGAGAGCAGAGUCAUUGACAAGCCCCACUUCGGAGAUGUGCCCUGGAUCUUACAGCUAGUCCUGUCUCACCCUGUGCCUCAUGGAUGCAAUCAGAAUUCCAACAGCAGUCUUUUCAAGGGUCUGUACCAGCUCAUGCACCACCUUAGUGCUGGUUGACCCCCGGCUCUCCUGGUACUGAACUCAGUGGGAGAUUACAAUAAAGAUUCCUAUCUCACACCACUGAACUAACUCCCUCCCCUUUUCCUCCCUCGCUUCCUCUUUUGCUCCCUCCCUUUAUUGUGCAUGAAUAUGUGUGUGCACAUUUCUAUGUAAAUACAUGCGUAUGUAGGUACACACACAAACAUAUGUGUAUGCAUGUGAAGGUCAGAAGACAACCUUGGGUGGAAUUCAUUGGGUGCUUUCCACCACUUUGAUUUAAGACCUGGUAUUUAAUUGGCCUGAAACUUUACCAAGUAGGCUAGUCUAAAUGGCCAGUGGACUCUAGAGACCCACCUGUCUCCAUGUCUCAUCUUCCCAUUCUGAGAUCACAAUCUGGGUUCUAGGGAUCCAGACUCAGGUCCUCACACUUGUGAUGCAAGGGCUUUCCUGACUGAGCUGUGUCUAUGCCCUCCCUAGCAAGCCAUAGUCCAAGUUCUUGAUCCACCUGUAGGACGAGACCUUUUCAGGUCGGUUGCAGAAUCUGUCCCUCCCAGCUCUACUGCAGUGGUAGAUUUAUUAUAGAAUGUCUUCAUUCUCAGGUUGCCAUGGGAUUUCACAUACACUUCAUUCUAUCCUUGGCUAUGAGUGCAAAUGGCAUUGAGCCUCAUGUGGGCUCCUCUUAGUACACAUUGUUAACUUGACAACCAAGAGCUAACGUAAAUGCAGGAGGAAGGAGGGGAGCAGCCCAAGGCUGAGCCUGUGAAGGCAUCAGAGCAUUGGGGAGUCACAUGGGAGGAGUUCAGAUAGGCUCUAGGAUUAAGCUAAGGGAGGGGAAGUUAUACAGGUACAGGUUGAGGUAAAGCCACAGUGGUGUCGAGUCCUUACUCAGGCUGAUGUGGAGGGCAAGUAAGGCAUGGGCCCAGGUACGGAGUCAGUGCAGAGGCUUGCUCUGUCUACAGGAGAGUAUCUGGAGACUCUGAGAGGAUGCCUGCAAAUACAGACAGAAGCCUCCACUUCAGCUGUCCAUCUGCACAGAAGGCUCUUUCGCCAUCACACCAAACUACUCACUCACAACUCCAUCACUUCCUGUCAAGGGACAGCCCCUGUGUGGACCUGAUACUCUUACCUUGUCACCCCAGUCACAGCCUUCAGUGAGUGAGGAAGCCGUGAGCUACACCUGGCCCUUUAUCAGACCAACAAGACAUCUGUCUGAUGGGUGGAUGGGUGGGUACACACCUGAAUGGAUGAAUGUUGUCAUUUCAUCUCUAAUCCAUGGUUCCAGUUGGAUGUUUCCUCUGAGCAUGGCCCAAUGCAGCCUCUUAGACACCGCACACGGAUGCCUGCUCCUUACCCUGCUUGCCGCCAGCCAAGCGCACGUUGCAUGUUUGACAAGUUGGAUGCCGAGUGGAGAAACUUGAAUGCUUUCAUCUAUUUACUUUUACCACAUGCCAUAGAAAUUAAAAAUACAUUGUACCGCAAGUGCUGUAUUUAGUGUCUCCCUUUAAUUACAUUCAAGUGUGUUGCUAAAUAGUCUUGAGGAAACCAUAAUGACCAGCUGUUCUACCCUUUUCCCAUAUGUCAGAGCUGGUGUCUGAAAUCACAUUCUGGGACGGGAAGGUUGUAUAAUUAGACAGUGUACAGUUAACACUUCUAGAUCUCCCCCUUAAACUGUGGGGCCUUUACACUAACAUAUUGUACGAUUCUGCCAGUUUGGCACAAUACAAUUAAGUGGCUUGCCAAAGAGCGAGGAGACUCUCUCAGUACCAUCAGCCGUGCGAUGACAGCGGAAAGUGUGUGCACUAUGCAAGAUUCAGUGUGCUCAGCUGACAAAUACACUUAGGAAGGAGGACUUUAAAUUUUUAAUGUCCCCUCACAGUGCCAUUUAUCUCGUUAGAAUUAGACGUGAAAGUAGCUUAUUUUUAUGAGUCCUUUCAAACAAAGAGGUAUCACCCAAAUACCCAGCAUCCAUUUAAGAAAACAGGAUGUGACUGAAAAUCGCCGGAGUUGGAUGAGAAGACAACCUUCCCUAUGGAUUCUUGUGGGGGAAAUGGGAUUCUUUUUCUACUGCCAAACCAGAGGUGGAAGAUAAGAGAUGAUGGACAGAUAUAAAUAACUGACUGUUGGGGGGUAACCCGCUGCUCCCAGCCGUUGCACCUCUCAGCUUGGAGAGUCACCUCCAACCAUAGUUAUACCUCACCUGAUCAAGUUCAGCAAGCUCUUUGAUUUCUGAAAUACAGACAGACAUCAAAAUAGAAAUAUAAAAUAAAGAGAUGUGUUCUUACACGUUUCUCUCCCGAGGAAAAUGCCCUUGACGGCUGUCCUAAGCCAUGAGUCAAAAAUGCAGCUCGGCUCUCACAUCAACAUGUCCUCAAGAAUAGAAUCAACUCGUGGCCAAGGCUCUCUUCAGCCCUAAAAUAACAAUCACUUUUUGAAAAGCCUGAGAGAGGGAGCAACACUCUCCCGAGAAGACCGAUUUACAGCAUUUUGUCUGUACAGUUUGAAUCUCCGGUGACUUAUUUAGAUGUAAGCGCUGAGAGCUGUAAUCGUUUUAAAUCUUGCUUUGUGGCCUGAGUUAGAAUGCUGUUCAAUUGAUAUUCAGAAUAAUGGCAGCGGUGUGCUUCUUUGAAAGGGACCUGAGCACACUCCAGUGCUUUGGGAAACAGACUCGCCAGAGGGUUAAUCCACAUUUAGAACUUGCAUUAAUAAAAACCCUACCUUGCACCACAGGGUGUGCAAACGA